Molecule: ribosomal RNA, 450 nt
Filed under: uncultured Glomus
Lineage: Eukaryota; Fungi; Glomeromycota; Glomeromycetes; Glomerales; Glomeraceae
Description: SSU rRNA
Rfam family: Eukaryotic small subunit ribosomal RNA
Source: RNAcentral
AGCAGCCGCGGUAAUUCCAGCUCCAAUAGCGUAUAUUAAAGUUGUUGCAGUUAAAAAGCUCGUAGUUGAAUUUCGGGAUCAAGGAAUCGGUCAUGCCUCGGUAUGUACUGGUUUUAUUGGUUCUCACCUUCUAAAAAACCAUAAUGUCAUUUAUUUGAUGUUAUGGGGAAUUAGGACUGUUACCUUGAAAAAAUUAGAGUGUUUAAAGCAAGCUUACGCUUGAAUACAUUAGCAUGGAAUAAUGAAAUAGGACAUCCGAUUCUAUUUUGUUGGUUUCUAGGAUCGAUGUAAUGAUUAAUAGGGAUAGUUGGGGGCAUUAGUAUUCAAUUGUCAGAGGUGAAAUUCUUGGAUUUAUUGAAGACUAACUACUGCGAAAGCAUUUGCCAAGGAUGUUUUCAUUAGUCAAGAACGAAAGUUAGGGGAUCGAAGACGAUCAGAUACCGUCGUAGU